This 513-nucleotide ribosomal RNA is filed under the name uncultured bacterium. RNAcentral's name for it is "partial 16S ribosomal RNA". It matches the Rfam family "Bacterial small subunit ribosomal RNA", at positions 28 to 523 of the family's 1533-position model. The record is from RNAcentral.
GAUGAACGCUGGCGGCGUGCCUAAUACAUGCAAGUCGAGCGAACAGACGAGGAGCUUGCUCCUUUGAUGUUAGCGGCGGACGGGUGAGUAACACGUAGGUAACCUACCUAUAAGACUGGGAUAACCUCGGGAAACCGGAGCUAAUACCGGAUAAUAUUUCGAACCGCAAGGUUCGAUAGUGAAAGAUGGCUUUGCUAUCCCUUAUAGAUGGACCUGCGCCGUAUUAGCUAGUUGGUAAGGUAACGGCUUACCAAGGAAACGAUACGUAGCCGACCUGAGAGGGUGAUCGGCCACACUGGAACUGAGACACGGUCCAGACUCCUACGGGAGGCAGCAGUAGGGAAUCUUCCGCAAUGGGCGAAAGCCUGACGGAGCAACGCCGCGUGAGUGAUGAAGGUCUUCGGAUCGUAAAACUCUGUUAUUAGGGAAGAACAAACGUGUAAGUAACUGUGCACGUCUUGACGGUACCUAAUCAGAAAGCCACGGCUAACUACGUGCCAGCAGCCGCCGUAA